Molecule: ribosomal RNA, 483 nt
Filed under: uncultured bacterium
Lineage: Bacteria
Description: bacterial SSU rRNA
Rfam family: Bacterial small subunit ribosomal RNA
Source: RNAcentral
GAGUUUGAUCAUGGCUCAGGACGAACGCUGGCGGCGUGCUUAACACAUGCAAGUCGAACGAUGAAGCCCAGCUUGCUGGGUGGAUUAGUGGCGAACGGGUGAGUAACACGUGGGUGAUCUGCCCUGCACUCUGGGAUAAGCCUGGGAAACUGGGUCUAAUACCGGAUAUGACCUCUUGCUGCAUGGCGAGGGUGGAAAGUUUUUCGGUGCAGGAUGAGCCCGCGGCCUAUCAGCUUGUUGGUGGGGUAAUGGCCUACCAAGGCGACGACGGGUAGCCGGCCUGAGAGGGCGACCGGCCACACUGGGACUGAGACACGGCCCAGACUCCUACGGGAGGCAGCAGUGGGGAAUAUUGCACAAUGGGCGAAAGCCUGAUGCAGCGACGCCGCGUGAGGGAUGACGGCCUUCGGGUUGUAAACCUCUUUCAGCAGGGACGAAGCGAAAGUGACGGUACCUGCAGAAGAAGCACCGGCCAACUACGUG